CUCCCGAUGGUCUAGUUGGUUCAUGGCGUCUGACUGUAAUUGCACGGUUUCAUCAGAAAGUCACCUGUUCGAUUCAGGUUCGGGAGA
Molecule: non-coding RNA, 87 nt
Organism: Cephalotrichum gorgonifer
Lineage: Eukaryota; Fungi; Ascomycota; Sordariomycetes; Microascales; Microascaceae
Source: the annotation of a GenBank genome assembly